UGCUCUUUGUUGAUUGAAAGCGAUCUAAUUUAAGUGUUUUAUUAGACGAAAUAUCUUUUAGAUUUAAUAUAUGAAAUGAAUGUGAUGUGUUAAUGAUAAACAGACAGGUUUGUUGUCCUCGAGCAUUUAAUUGUUAAAAGCGUUUUUUAUUGUCCUGUAAGGCCUGAAAGCUAUUAACGCGUGGACCGGAAGCGACUGAGGACAGUGAGGACCCCUGCGAGUCGGCGGACGUCAGCCGAUUCCCCUCAGAGUCGCUGUAUCGAUGCUCUCAGGAGCCCCGCUGCUUUCAAUUAACCUUUCGCUUUAGACCACUGACGCAAAUGCAGACCCGAUGAGAGGAGAUCUGAAUGUCUCGUCAAGUGCCGUAAACUGAGCUCGUACAGGCCGUCCUGAAGCUGCAGCGAGUGAAAGGAGAGACCGUCACUUGAAGAUUUCCUUCUACUGUCUUCAAGUGAGGCUAAAAUAUCCUUUUGGGGAAUUGCUCACAGAUGGUGACUUGAUUUAUAGCAGCGCACCUGCUGCACCUUCUGCUGAUUUCAUUACUAUACUCUACAUCUCAGUGCAGUGUAAAGGAUGUUGAUUCAAGAGCACGUUCUGCUGGCGAGUCUCGUGAUGAAUGCCAGUCAUUUGGAGCUCUAGGCCUUUCUUCACUGAUGUGUGUUUGACCGUGACACCUGAUCUAUCGGUCAUGUUUAUUUCCGUACGUUUUAUUCAAACGGGAGCUGGCGUUGGUGAAAACAAACGUGUUAAAGUAUCCAGUGGCAUCAAACGUGUAUAAGUGAGAAACUGGAGGGACACAGAUCGUUUAAAGAGAUAUUAAAUUAAUUGAACGCUCAUUUAAAUGUAAACCUUUAUAUUGUAGCUGUGGAGUGCUAUUCAACCACUAAGAAAAAAGAAACCGGAUGAAAAUAAAUAUUGUAAUAAAUACAUUU
Puntigrus tetrazona (Sumatra barb) is the source of this 932-nucleotide long non-coding RNA. RefSeq lists it as uncharacterized. The record is from RefSeq and is a predicted model, not a curated record. The transcript is spliced from 3 exons. Lineage: Eukaryota; Metazoa; Chordata; Actinopteri; Cypriniformes; Cyprinidae.